UCCUUUGUUAUGCUUUUUAACUCCAAUGACAUGCAGACUCUAAUAUUUGUUUUUUUCCUUAUGUUAUGUUCUGUUUUCUCUGAAUGUCAAAAUGGACAGCGUGUUCCUAAGUUGCACUGAUUUAAUUGUUAAACUACCCAAACAUUGUCUUAACUUGGGUACAAAUUGAAAUUUUUGUUCUUUCUCAUGUUUGCGAAAUUUUGAAGCAAAUCCCACUGGAAAAAACAUAACCAACACAAGUUAAGUAAAGCAACGUCCAGUGACCACAAUACCCCUGAAAAAUCUCUGCACCUACUUCCUCAAUGCCCGAUGUUCAUACUCAUAGUAGGCAUAGAUCAUGUCAGGGUCCAUCCUAAAUUUCUACAUUCAAAUGCGACCAGCCAUAAAUGGGCUCUGGGAGCUUUUGCGGAGCUUCUAGACAACUCUUUUUUUGGAUGAGGUACACCUAGACUCUUCUUUGCUUCCAAAAGUUAAGAAUCA
Long non-coding RNA from Corylus avellana, 480 nucleotides. RefSeq lists it as uncharacterized. The record is from RefSeq and is a predicted model, not a curated record. NCBI's taxonomy places the organism in Eukaryota, Viridiplantae, Streptophyta, Magnoliopsida, Fagales, Betulaceae.